Molecule: ribosomal RNA, 253 nt
Filed under: uncultured bacterium
Lineage: Bacteria
Description: partial 16S ribosomal RNA
Rfam family: Bacterial small subunit ribosomal RNA
Source: RNAcentral
UACGGGGGGUGCAAGCGUUGCUCGGAAUCACUGGGCGUAAAGCGUCCGCAGGCGGCUUGAUAAGUCGGGUGUGAAAGCCCGGGGCUCAACCCCGGAACUGCAUUCGAAACUGUCUGGCUUGAGUACGGGAGAGGGUCGUGGAAUUCCUGGUGUAGAGGUGAAAUUCGUAGAUAUCAGGAGGAACACCGGUGGCGAAAGCGGCGACCUGGCCCGAUACUGACGCUCAUGGACGAAAGCGUGGGGAGCAAACAGG